GUGCUCACUUCAGCAGCACAUAUACUAAAAUUGGAACAAUACAGAGAAGAUUACAUGGCCCUUGCACAAGGAUGACAUGUAAAUUCACAAAACAUUCCACCGAAAG
This 106-nucleotide small nuclear RNA is filed under the name Canis lupus dingo (dingo). The record is from RNAcentral. Lineage: Eukaryota; Metazoa; Chordata; Mammalia; Carnivora; Canidae.